This 497-nucleotide ribosomal RNA is filed under the name uncultured bacterium. RNAcentral describes it as "partial 16S ribosomal RNA". It matches the Rfam family "Bacterial small subunit ribosomal RNA", at positions 28 to 507 of the family's 1533-position model. The record is from RNAcentral.
GAUGAACGCUGGCGGCGUGCCUAAUACAUGCAAGUCGAGCGAACGGACGAGAAGCUUGCUUCUCUGAUGUUAGCGGCGGACGGGUGAGUAACACGUGGAUAACCUACCUAUAAGACUGGGAUAACUUCGGGAAACCGGAGCUAAUACCGGAUGAUAUUUUGAACCGCAUGGUUCAAAAGUGAAAGACGGUCUUGCUGUCACUUAUAGAUGGAUCCGCGCUGCAUUAGCUAGUUGGUAAGGUAACGGCUUACCAAGGCAACGAUGCAUAGCCGACCUGAGAGGGUGAUCGGCCACACUGGAACUGAGACACGGUCCAGACUCCUACGGGAGGCAGCAGUAGGGAAUCUUCCGCAAUGGGCGAAAGCCUGACGGAGCAACGCCGCGUGAGUGGUGAAGGUCUUCGAAUCGUAAAACUCUGUUAUUAGGGAAGAACAUAUGUGUAAGUAACUGUGCACAUCUUGACGGUACCUAAUCAGAAAGCCACGGCUAACUACGUG